Herpailurus yagouaroundi (jaguarundi) is the source of this 675-nucleotide long non-coding RNA. RefSeq lists it as uncharacterized. The transcript is spliced from 4 exons. Lineage: Eukaryota; Metazoa; Chordata; Mammalia; Carnivora; Felidae. The record is from RefSeq and is a predicted model, not a curated record.
CCACCAGGACUUGUCAAUAUUGGUGUUGUCCUUGAUCAUCUAGCUAAAAGUGUAUUUGUCUGGUUUCUCUAACUAUGAAAUUCUUACCUCUAACCCCACCCCCUUCAUACUGUACUCCUUGGAACAAAGUCACUAUGCCAACAUUUAUGGAGUUGAGAGAAUUGAUAGGGUGGAAAUCUAGAGGCACCAUAUGAUGUCCUUCUGAAGAAAAGUUCAGGGGGUCAUGAAACCCAGGCUUUAUACCCCCAGAAAACUGCCAAGUGUAUGGAUUCUCCUUCACCAGGGGGCCAGGUGAUUCUUGAAGGAAUCACAAAGAGAAUACUUUGAGAUGGGAAAAAAAUCUCAGGAAAUUUGUCAUUUUUGUAAGAUGCUGAUCUCCUGAAUAUUUCUCCAAGCGACCCAGACAUGUGUCCAAUCUAAAUAAGGAGGCAUCUUCAGAAAUUCUUCACAAACACCCCCAAGAAAUCAUAAAGUGAGGGUCUGUGACCUUUGCCUUUGUAAAGAAAAAUGUGUAGAUCUUCCCACUGACCGAAGAAUGAAUAUCUCAUUAAAAACUUGUUUCAGAGAGAUUGGAGCAGGGAGCAGAUGUCAGUAGAACUACCAAAUUGUAUGUUCCUUGUAUUACAUGAAUGUAGUUAUUUAAAAUAAAAUGUUGGUGCUAUUAUAACAAGAGUA